GAUGAACGCUGGCGGCGUGCCUAAUACAUGCAAGUCGAGCGAACAGACGAGGAGCUUGCUCCUCUGACGUUAGCGGCGGACGGGUGAGUAACACGUGGAUAACCUACCUCUUAGACUGGGAUAACUUCGGGAAACCGGAGCUAAUACCGGAUAAUAUAUUGAACCGCAUGGUUCAAUAGUGAAAGACGGUUUUGCUGUCACUUAUAGAUGGAUCCGCGCCGCAUUAGCUAGUUGGUAAGGUAACGGCUUACCAAGGCGACGAUGCGUAGCCGACCUGAGAGGGUGAUCGGCCACACUGGAACUGAGACACGGUCCAGACUCCUACGGGAGGCAGCAGUAGGGAAUCUUCCGCAAUGGGCGAAAGCCUGACGGAGCAACGCCGCGUGAGUGAUGAAGGUCUUCGGAUCGUAAAACUCUGUUAUUAGGGAAGAACAAAUGUGUAAGUAACUAUGCACGUCUUGACGGUACCUAAUCAGAAAGCAACGGCUAACUACGUG
RNAcentral lists this ribosomal RNA (497 nucleotides) under uncultured bacterium. RNAcentral describes it as "partial 16S ribosomal RNA". It matches the Rfam family "Bacterial small subunit ribosomal RNA", at positions 28 to 507 of the family's 1533-position model. The record is from RNAcentral.